This 465-nucleotide ribosomal RNA is filed under the name uncultured bacterium. RNAcentral's name for it is "partial 16S ribosomal RNA". It matches the Rfam family "Bacterial small subunit ribosomal RNA", at positions 28 to 507 of the family's 1533-position model. The record is from RNAcentral.
GACGAACGCUGGCGGCGUGCUUAACACAUGCAAGUCGAACGGAAAGGCCCCUUCGGGGGUCCUCGAGUGGCGAACGGGUGAGUAACACGUGAGUAACCUGCCCUUGACUUCGGGAUAACUUCAGGAAACUGGGGCUAAUACCGGAUAGGAAUCCUUGCUGCAUGGUGGGGGUUGGAAAGCUUCGGCGGUUUUGGAUGGACUCGCGGCUUAUCAGCUUGUUGGUGGGGUAGUGGCUUACCAAGGCUUUGACGGGUAGCCGGCCUGAGAGGGCGACCGGCCACAUUGGGACUGAGAUACGGCCCAGACUCCUACGGGAGGCAGCAGUGGGGAAUAUUGCACAAUGGGCGGAAGCCUGAUGCAGCAACGCCGCGUGCGGGAUGACGGCCUUCGGGUUGGAAACCGCUUUCAGCAGGGGCGAAGCUUGUGGUGACGGUACCUGCAGAAGAAGCACCGGCUAACUACGUG